This 2797-nucleotide long non-coding RNA is filed under the name Musa acuminata (dwarf banana). RNAcentral's name for it is "long non-coding RNA (MACU_LNC008308)". The record is from RNAcentral. Lineage: Eukaryota; Viridiplantae; Streptophyta; Magnoliopsida; Zingiberales; Musaceae.
AAGAGAAAGCGAAAGCUGGCCAAGCUAGAGAAAGCAAAGUCAAUAUGGCUAUUAUGAGCGUUUAACAUGCAUUCCAUUCCACUCCGCAAAUGGCUAAUCACCUCUGUAUGCUGUUCUAAUGCAUUUUGGCUUUAUAACAUGACCCGGUCUAAACCGCCUUUCUAGUUGUACAGGGGGUUCUUGACUCUGACUUCCCGGUCUAAACCGCCUUUCUAGUUGUACAGGGGGUUCUUGACUCUUACUUAUAUGCAUAUCGGCACCUAAAUAGAAGUCGUUUUGAUUUCCCAGUAGCUCCUUGCCUUGCCUUAACCGAUAAUGCGUGGAAGGAGUCGGAAUGCAGCUCGUUGCUUUGCUUCACUUCAAGCUGUUAGUAAUAUGUACGAAUGUAGUGUUCCGCAGAUAAGACAGGUACAGCAGAUGAGUACAGGUGUAAGAAAGAGGGAAAGGUUCGCUUCAAACCACUCCUUGACCUUGUUUCAAUUAAGAAUCAAUUCUAGUAGUUGCUAGUCGGGUUGAUUCGGCUGCUGCUGUAUAAGAGGAAACUAAACUCGUAGAAUUAGAUACGAGGGAGCGGUCUUCAACUCUUUCUCAAGUGUAGUAGGCCGUAGAGGAGGAUUCAGAUUAAAGGUUUUGUUCGUCCACCUGUUUUCGUUCCUUUCCCUUAGGAGUGAAGUUCCGUGUUCCAGUCGACCGAGAAGAUAAAAAGAAGGAAAGAACAAUGAGAGAAAGAAGAAGGUAUACUUCACUCUUCGUGCUAAACAUGUUCUGAUCCCAACAACCGGGUGUGGUGUCAGUGAUCAGUCCCGCUAGAAUGUAUUUCCUCCCUUUGUUUUAAGGAUUAGCAAUAACACUUGCACGCCAAAGUGGGAAAGUCAAAGAAAAGACGGGAAAGUCAAAGAAAAGACAUGAGAUCCAUUUCAUCAAACCCUUUAUGAAAAUACAAGACAAUUAAGUUAUUGGGCGAAGCACUUCUUCGACUGCCAUCCCAGUCAACGGAAAUGGGACUAACCGCUUCCGUGGGGAUUCCAGAUCAGAGAUUCUUUGCUCCGGAUCCAGACAUGCUUACCUAUGGGUGGCAGGUCCCUAUAUCCUAUCCAGAAGAUAGUCGAAAGAUAGAAUCAAAAGCCCUAUCUUUGAAUACCGGUGAGAGAGUAAGGGAGAGGCCCUCUUCCUGAAUAAAUAAGAAAGAGCCAUCUAUCUCGCCAGUCAAUAUAUGCUCUUAGCCAUCUUUACAAAAUGGAAGUGGAAGAUCAAAAGAAAAGCAAAGCUCCCUGACGCCCAGCAUGUUCCCAAACGACUCCAACUUCAAGGUUGGAUUAAGACUAAUCGGGUAUAGGUCCGCCCGAGACUCGUUUCCUUAGAAUGAGUAACUAAUACAAUAUUGCACAAGUAAUCUCCACAACAGGAUCCAGCAAUAAUGCAUGUGUCAGAAUAGCCUUUGAAUCCUUCUUAUCCGCCCCACACAAAGAGAAUAGAAUGCCAUAUUGCAAAGCUCAGACCCGAAACCAACCCUUUAUUGUAGAGCAUUGCCUUAACGUAAUCAGUUGAUCAACUCCACAGAGGCAUAAGAUUAUUGCUGAUUUCUGGGAUCCUUAUUGAUUGCUUGCUACGUGUCUUCAGAAGAUUGAUUAGACAACGGAACGAAAGCCAUUUCAUGCUUACUAGAGCCGCUCAUCUUUGAGCUAAAGAAUAUGAGUUAGGUCCAACACCGACCAAGACUAUAGUUGUCCCGAAACAAGAGAGGUUAAUUCAUUUCUUAUUGCACGAGUAGCGCUAUGCAACAAGGGACUAAUUGGGGGCAUUGAAGAAUGAUCGGCAAAUAGCACUCCUCACUCUAUUGUCAAUUCUUAAACAAACAGCUCACUCCUCUUACGAGCCAAUAGCAUAUCCUCUUACGAGCCACUCCUCUAUGAUGAACUAAGAAAUGAGAGUCUUAAAGAAAUGAGAGUAUUCUAUUAUGAGUCUUCUAUGUAAGUAUUACAGAAAUAUGAGUCUUCUAUGUAAGUAUUACAGAAAUGAGAGUAUAACUUCUAUUAUUAGUAUUAUCUUAUUAGAAAAAGCUAUUGAUGCCUGAAAAGGACUGAUGCUUCUAGUUGAUUUGAUGCCGGGUACUGAUCCCCAUAAAGAGAAUUCUAUCUUGAGAUGUACCGUCCGGGAUGGUGCGCGUAGGGAAGGUGAUGCAAGUUAAGGUGAUUGAUUGCUUUUCCAAAAGGCUCUGACAGAGGUGCAAGGGAUGUGGGAGGAUUUGCUAAUGCGCGCGCGUUGACUAUCGAUCGGUUCUAAUGCGUUGACUAUCGGUUCUAAUGCUUACUAUCGGGGGCUCUUAGAUAUGGUUCUCGAAUAGGAAGAGAGAGCGGGAGGGUACAGUCCCAUACAAGAGAAAUACAUAUUGAUGAUUUGGUAUUGAUAGGCUGGAGAGGAUUCGUUUGCCUCUGCUCCUGCAAGAAAGUAAUAAUAUAGAUAUCGAACGUAAGCUGGCCGCUGGUUAAUUCCCCUAAAGGUAUAAAGCUGAGGAUUAGUGUGUUCACUGGUUAUGGAGAAAGAAAAGAGCAGUGCUGGUGUUAACAAGAUAUUAUAUGGGACGGGCUCAACGGAUUAUGGGACAAGAACGGAGCUAACCUUGCUUGCUCCUGUCCAUGCAUUUGGAUUCGCACCUGGAAGUGGGACUGAAGCUCUGCCUCCCCCGCCUUGACUUGAACUUGGACUCCUAUUGCCCUUGUAGCGUUGGUGAAAUGGUAGCUUAUAGCUCUGCCCUUCCUUUUCCAAAACAACGAAAGAACCAAUUCAAUUAGCUCGU